RNA transcript from Piliocolobus tephrosceles (Ugandan red Colobus), 4279 nucleotides. It is a transcript of the gene named WD repeat containing planar cell polarity effector, with no coding region annotated. The record is from RefSeq and is a predicted model, not a curated record. The transcript is spliced from 19 exons. NCBI's taxonomy places the organism in Eukaryota, Metazoa, Chordata, Mammalia, Primates, Cercopithecidae.
CACUUCCCUAUCCGAGAGGUCCCUCUCACUUCCUUCUCACUGCGCUCUGCUCCGAUUGCAAAGUAGUCCCGGAGGAUGAGCCGCUGUGAUUGGAGGACGACGACAAGCGGAUGGUUUGGGCUCAGGAGGAAAGGACCUGCCUGAUGGCGCCCGGCAUUUGGCGGGAGAGAUUUCGUUUGUAAUUCUAGGGAGGAGAGAAUGACCCCUUAGCGACAUCACCCCCCACGCGCGUGACUGAGACUUCGUCCUCCCGUGAGGGUAAACGUGGGAGGUAAAGAGACCUUCCGCUGCGUAAAGCUGGCUCGACCCGGAAACAAAAUCAUUUAAAAAAGGAUUCACAUUCUGGAAGGGCGGGGGAAUUGAUAAGUUGGGACUACCGGACAGCUUCUCAGGUUGCUAAGCGACGAUGCGGGAGCGCGCGCACACCCCGGACGCUUUGUAGCACCUGAGGGAACUGUGGUGGCGGCGGCGGCCUGGAGACCCAAGAGACCAAGUGAGCUUGUCGCUCCCUCUCGAGUCCAAGGACCUAGCCCAGGAACCUUCUGCCCGGGUAGUGUCUGGUGAUGAGGCGAGAGUUUUGCCGGGACGCCUACUCCGAAGCGGCUGGGAGUCGCGCUUCUUCCCCCUCCCGUGGCAGAAAACUAUGAUAAAUUCUGGACAAAAUACAGAAAACCCACAACUCUCUGAAGGCACUGGAGAGUGACCAUAGCAGGCAUAAACUGAAAGGGAGUCUAUACUUGGAAAGAGGGAGUAUCACUGAAUAAACAAAAAUGAGGUUUUGUUGCCAGCAGACCUUCACUACAAGAAAUGCUAAAGGAAAUUCUUCAGGCUGAAAGGAAAUGAUACCAGAUGGAAAUUUGGAUCUGAGGAAUGGAGAACUCCAGAAAUGGACAGAGAUUCCUUCUGCCAUCAGAUGUCUUUCUGCUUGACUGAACUGCACCUGUGGUCUUUGAAGAAUACCUUACACAUUGCGGAUAGAAACAUUGGGAUUUACCAGUAUUAUGACAAGAAAGAUCCACCAGCGACAGAGCAUGGUAACUUAGAAGAAAAGCAGAAACUGGCAGAGUCACGAGAUUAUCCUUGGACGCUCAAAAACAGACGCCCAGAAAAACUCCGAGACUCACUCAAAGAGUUGGAGGAGCUGAUGCAAAACAGUCACUGUGUGCUGAGCAAAUGGAAGAACAAAUAUGUCUGUCAGCUCCUCUUUGGUUCAGGUGUGCUGGUGUCGCUAAGCCUUUCUGGGCCGCAGCUGGAGAAAGUGGUGAUUGACAGAAGCCUGGUGGGGAAGCUCAUCUCAGACACCAUCAGUGAUGCUCUUCUCACAGACAGUUUUAUCAUCUUAUCAUUUUUGGCACAAAACAAGCUAUGUUUUAUUCAGUUUACCAAGAAGAUGGAUUCUUCUGAUGUAAACAAAAGACUGGAAAAACUCUCAGCCUUGGAUUAUAAGAUUUUCUAUUAUGAAAUACCUGGCCCAAUAAACAAGACAACAGAGCGACAUCUAGCUAUCAACUGUGUUCAUGAUAGAGUUGUUUGCUGGUGGCCACUGGUCAAUGAUGAUGCUUGGCCUUGGGCCCCCAUUUCUUCUGAGAAGGACAGAGCCAAUCUACUCCUCCUGGGUUAUGCUCAAGGAAGACUAGAGGUUCUGAGUUCUGUCCGCACAGAAUGGGACCCACUGGAUGUUUGCUUUGGCACCAAACAGCCUUAUCAGGUGUUCACAGUGGAACACUCCAUCAGUGUAGACAAAGAGCCAAUGGCUGACAGCUGCAUCUAUGAAUGCAUUCGGAAUAAAAUCCAGUGUGUGUCAGUCACCAGAAUACCACUGAAAUCAAAGGCCAUCAGCUGCUGCAGGAAUGUUACUGAAGACAAACUGAUUCUGGGCUGUGAAGAUUCUUCACUAAUUCUGUAUGAAACUCACCGUAGAGUGACUCUCUUAGCACAGACUGAACUUUUGCCUUCAUUAAUAAGCUGCCACCCAAGUGGUGCCAUUCUACUAGCUGGCAGCAACCAAGGGGAGUUGCAAAUUUUUGAUAUGGCUCUAUCACCUAUUAACAUCCAACUACUGGCUGAAGACCGCUUACCCAGGGAGACUCUGCAAUUCAAUAAAUUAUUUGAUGCCUCCAGCAGUCUUGUUCAAAUGCAAUGGAUAGCUCCUCAGGUUGUUUCUCAGAAGGGUGAAGGUAGUGAUAUCUGUGAUCUCCUCUUCCUCAGGUUUGAAAGAGGACCUUUGGGUGUGCUGUUGUUUAAACUAGGUGUCUUCACUCAAGGACAGCUGGGCCUGGUAGACAUCAUCUUCCAGUACAUUCACUGUGAUGAGAUCUGUGAGGCAAUAAACAUCCUGAGCAGCAUGAACUGGGACACUCUAGGCCAUCAGUGCUUUAUCAGCAUGAGCGCCAUUGUAAACCAUCUUCUUAGACAGAAGCUCACUCCAGAGAGAGAAGCACAGCUUGAGGCAAGCCUUGGAACCUUCUAUGCUCCAACAAGACCACUUCUGGAUACCACUAUAUUGGAAUAUAGAGACCAAAUCAGCAAAUAUGCAAGGAGAUUCUUCCACCACUUGCUCAGGUACCAGAGAUUUGAAAAGGCAUUUCUCCUAGCUGUUGACAUUGGUGCUCGUGACCUCUUUAUGGAUAUUCAUUACCUUGCACUAGAUAAAGGUGAAUUGGCACUAGCUGAAGUGGCAAGAAAAAGAGCUAGUGACAUUGAUGCAGAAUCAAUAACCUCUGGAAAUUCCUGGGGCCCUUGGACGGAGGGGAUAUGCUAAAUGAAGCUUUUAUUGGCCUGUCUUUAGCACCUCAAGGGGAAGACUCAUUUCCAGAUAACCGCCCUCCCUCUGGCCCAACCCACAGACACAUUGUACAACAAAGAAUACUGAAUGGCUCUUCUAACAGACAAAUAAUUGACAGAAGGAAUGAACUUGAAAAAGACAUCUGUUCUGGAUUUUUGAUGACUAAUACCUGUAAUGCAGAAGACAGAGAACUGAGAGAAGACUGCAGAGAACAGGAAAUCAGAGAUGGUGGUUCUCUGAGAAUGAUUCACUUUGGUCUGGUGUAAACAUUAAGAAAAAAAGAAACCUGCCUUCUUCAUAUCUAAACUUUUUCAUGGCCUGAUACAGACUUAAAAUCCCCCGUGUGGAUUUUUAAUAAGAGACAGUAUGAAUUGUAUAAAUUAGUUAAGAGUUUUGAGUGUUUUCAAAAUAAAGUUUUAUUAUUUCAAAAACAUGCAGCAUAACAGCAAAGUGAUCCUAAGUAAAAGUCCUUAACCUACUUAUUUUCAAUAAUGUAAAAUUUUGAAAGUGUCUUAAAUUGUACAUUAAUUAGGUGCUACAAAAAUAGAAUAUUUAAACUUUGUUCUCCCAGGUACUUUAAAAAAGGGGCAGUAGGGGGCAGGCGUAGUGCUCACUGUAGUCCCAGUGCUUUAGGAGGCCAAGGCUGAAGGAUCACUUGAGCCUAGGAGUUCAAGAAUAGCCUGUGCAACAUAGUGAAACGCUGUCUCUAGAAAAUAUUUUAAAAAUUAGCCAGGCAUGGUGGUACAUGCUUGUGAAGCUCAGGCAGGAGAACUGCUUGAGCCCAGGAGUUCAAGGCUACAGUGAGCCGUGAUCACGCCACUACACUAACCUGGGCAACAGAAAGUGACCCUAUCUCCAAAAAAAGAAAGAAAGAAAGUCCUCUUCUGCUCUUGUUUACAUUAUUAAUUUACAUUACAAAUAUAGUACUUAUUAUGCAAAUUUUCAGCCCAGACCCAUUGUUAGAAGACAAUUCUCCAUGGUUCUCUCAAAUUACUGCUAUGAGUAAUUUGCCCUGACUGCCCCUUAGAACACAGAUACUGUUUCCCUCUGGAGAAAGGGGCAAGCAUGCUUAUCAACUAUUAUAUGAAAUUUGAGUUCUUUAAGCUCAGAAUGCCUCUCCUUUACACUGCCCAUUGAGUGUGCAGGUGUCAUCUAGCCCUCUUAACAUUGCUCUAUAGGAAUAGGGCUCAGAGAAUCCAUGAAAAAAAAGAAAAGAAAAAAAUGCCUAUACCCUGGUUACUAUCAUUUGUCUCUGACUUAGGAGUCUCAUGUCUUCUAACAGCAUCCAUGAAACUAUAGUGUGGUAACUUGUUAGCUAGUAAGUAGGGUAAAAUCUCAUACCCUUCACAGUUAUCGACAUCCAUUCUUUAGCAGAUCACUGAUAUUUCACAAUUAUAGACAUCUAUAGGCCAGGCGCGGUGGCUUAUGCCUGUAAUCCCAGCACUUUGGGAGGCCAAGGUGGGCUGAUCACGAGGUCAGGAGAUCGAGACUAUC